AUGAGACCCAUCCUGGUAGUCGUUACUUGUCUUCUUACAGAAAGUCUAGCGCUUCCACUCAGCCAAGAGGGACAGAGAGAAGACGUGGUAACACGAUGUUUGGCUGAAGUCCUGUCCAAAGCUCUCUCCACACCGGACGCUCAGUUGGAUCAGGAAUGCAGAGACAUCAUAAAAGCAGGGGUUAAUCACGCCUCGCUGAGCAAGAAGAGCAGCGAUGGACUCGUAACACAAGAGGAGGCGUCUAAAGGUCACACUGAGGAACCUGCAGCAAAGGCAGCAGAUGUGAAAGACAUUGAAGCGCUUCUGAAAUCCGUGGAGGAGGAGAGAGCAAACCUUGAAGAUGAGCACAAUCAGCAAUCCUGGAGUCUGGGAGACAGAACGUCAGAGAAUGGAGAUGGAGGAGAACGGGUGAAAAGGAGCAGCUGGAGGCUUGGAAGGUACCGCCAGAGGAAAAGCAAACGCGGAGAGGAGGAAGAUUUUGAGCGUAGUCAGGAGAGCUGGGGAGGCACGGAAAAGAGGUCGGAGGAUGAAGAAGUGGCCGAGGAAAGUGAAGAAAAAGAGAAGAGGAGCUGGAGACCCGGCAGGUAUCAUCAAAGAAGACACAAGCGAGAUGACGGAGAAGAAGAAGAACCGGAGGAAGAGCGCAGCCAGGAGUCCUGGGAUGUAAACAAAAGGUACGAGGAUGAGGAGGAAAGAGAUAAGCGCAUAUGGAAGCCCACACAUCGUUACCAUCACAAGUCAAGGCUCCACAAGCGCAGCGAUGAUCCGCUGGAGGGCGAGGUUGAUGAGGACCGCAGCCAGGAGUCUUGGAGUGUUGACAAGAAGAACUGGAGGCCUGGAAGGUAUCACCAGAGGAGACAUAAGCGUGAUGAAGAACCUCUGGAAAACGCUCGGGAAGAACCGGAUGAAGAACGCAGUCAGGAAUACUGGGAUGUUGAUACUGGAGUAGAGAAACGGAACUGGAGGCCAGGCAGAAUCCACCAAAGGAGACACAAGCGUGAUGAAGAACGCAGUCAGGAAUACUGGGAUUUUGAUACUGGAGUAGAGAAACGGAACUGGAGGCCGGGCAGAUUCCACCAAAGGAGACAACGACGUGAUGAAGAGCCAUCCGAGGGCAACCGGGAAGAACCGGAUGAAGAACGCAGUCAGGAAUACUGGGAUUUUGAUACAGGAAUGGAGAAACGGAACUGGAGGCCGGGCAGAUUCCACCAGAGGAGACAACGACGUGAUGAAGAGCUACCAGAGGAGGCCAGAGAGGAACCGGAAGGAGGACGCAGUCAGGAGGACUGGGGUUAUGAAAAGAGACAGGAAACAGAAGAGGGAGAAAUAGAGAAAAGGAUAUGGAAGCCGACACACAGAUACCACCAUAAACAAAGACUUAACAAGCGAGCAGGAGGACCGUCGGAGGAAGAGCAGAGGGGAACUUCGGAUGAAUACACAGAAGAUGAGAAAGACAGAGAUGAAGCUUUGAGGUAUCUGGCUGAGAAGCGUAAUCCCUGGAUCUCCAGAGGCUACUACCACCCUGCCUGGUAUAAACGGGAUUCAGAGGAACCAGCUGCUGCUUCAAACAAGAUGGACCAACUGGCCCAGCUGCUGAGCUACAGGAUCAACCAGCUGGCUCACCACUCUGCUCAGGAGGAGGCAAAGACGACGAGGGCGCUCACUCCACCGGAGGAGAACGAGCUGGAGAACCUGGCAGCGAUGGACACGGAGCUGCGGAAAAUUGCAGCCAAGCUGCACGACAAGCCCGCGUGA
This 1755-nucleotide long non-coding RNA is filed under the name Nothobranchius furzeri (turquoise killifish). RNAcentral's name for it is "lncRNA (ENSNFUG00015003853.1)". The record is from RNAcentral. Lineage: Eukaryota; Metazoa; Chordata; Actinopteri; Cyprinodontiformes; Nothobranchiidae.